CAGAAAGUGCAGCUCCUUUCUCCUGCCAAAACAAAACAGUAUUUUAGAUUAUAACUAGGCUAGGAGUCGUCUGCAAUUAAUUCUGCUCAAAAACUCCUCUAGCUGGAAAUGCAGAUUGCACCAAUUUGCAAUGAGCUGCUACAAGGUGAGGAAGCUGCUCACCGCUCCUAUUCCAUACUGAAUUUCCCAGCUGGGGCAGCCUCUGCCCUGGCCGUGAACCAGGCCACAUGAGCAGGAGCACAGAUAAUGAGGGCUUGGGAUCUGGAACCAACAGUGAGGGAAACCAGCACCAUGAGGGGAUACAAGCUCCACAAACUCCAAAUCCACCUUUUAUGAGCAAGCUGAACUACUGCAUUAAAAACAGUGAACAAAGACAUUCCUCAGUUACUUGGAGGCCAACAGCAGGAAAUCAGGAUCCUGACACGUUCCUGGUUGUCACAAGAAGCAAUGAUUGUUCUGAACACAGCGCUGCGGUGGGCAGCAGAGCAUCCGUCUGAAAGGGAAAGACGAGACUUUUUAUAUCUUUUCUAGCUGACAUGUCUGAGGCUGCUGCGAGAGGAAUUGUGGUGCAGUAAAGACGUGUGAGAUGAACUGAUGGGAAGCUUGGGGAUGCAGGCAGGCUCCAGCUGGAGCAAGACUUCUACACAGAGAUCAGACUGUUCUGGCAGAUAAUUUAUUACCUUUCUCAAACAAAUCAGGUUGGCCUAAGGGUCAUUAAUGUUUAUAGUGAAGUCCUAAUUAAGCAAAUAUAAACCUUAUGCUCAGCAGAGAUCACAUUAAAAAAGAAAAUAAUCACAUACAACUGUCUUUCUUGUGCUUGCCUCUGCCUCUGAUUUCGUGAUGCCGAUAUUAAUCGACUAAUGGCAACAGAAAUUGCGUUGAAUGUUGUAGAAACACUGGGGCCAAGCAUGGCUGUCAUCCACAGUGAGCACAGUCCACGUUCAGCGAGCUGUGGGGCCCAGCUCUCCUCUGAUGUGCGUUUGAAGCAUCAUUUCUGUCUGUACAAGAGUGGUGUGAAAUCAGGAGGAUGCCUUUCACCUUUCUGUAAAUGACUUCUCAAG
Molecule: long non-coding RNA, 1061 nt
Filed under: Gallus gallus (chicken)
Lineage: Eukaryota; Metazoa; Chordata; Aves; Galliformes; Phasianidae
Description: lncRNA (ENSGALG00010013926.1)
Source: RNAcentral